This 121-nucleotide non-coding RNA is filed under the name uncultured Dysosmobacter sp. RNAcentral describes it as "FMN riboswitch (RFN element)". It matches the Rfam family "FMN riboswitch aptamer (RFN element)". Rfam says of the family: The RFN element is a highly conserved domain that is found frequently in the 5'-untranslated regions of prokaryotic mRNAs that encode for flavin mononucleotide (FMN) biosynthesis and transport proteins. This element is a metabolite-dependent riboswitch that directly binds FMN in the absence of proteins. The record is from RNAcentral. Lineage: Bacteria; Bacillati; Bacillota; Clostridia; Eubacteriales; Oscillospiraceae.
UGUCUUCAGGGCGGGGUGCAAGUCCCCACUGGCGGUAAAGUCCGCGACCGGAUGCCAUAGGGUAUCCGCUGAUCCGGUGCAACUCCGGGACCAACAGUCACAGUCUGGAUGGAAGAAGAUG